This 346-nucleotide unclassified non-coding RNA is filed under the name soil metagenome. Its description in RNAcentral is "partial contains 5.8S ribosomal RNA, internal transcribed spacer 2, and large subunit ribosomal RNA". The stretch from base 1 to 120 matches the Rfam family "5.8S ribosomal RNA", at positions 35 to 154 of the family's 154-position model. The record is from RNAcentral.
GAUGAAGAACGUAGCGAAAUGCGAUACGUAAUGUGAAUUGCAGAAUUCAGUGAAUCAUCGAGUCUUUGAACGCACAUUGCGCCCCCUGGUAUUCCGGGGGGCAUGCCUGUCCGAGCGUCAUUGCUGCCCUCAAGCACGGCUUGUGUGUUGGGCCUCCGUCCUCCUCCCGGGGGACGGGCCCGAAAGGCAGCGGCGGCACCGCGUCCGGUCCUCGAGCGUAUGGGGCUUCGUCACCCGCUCUUGUAGGCCCGGCCGGCGCUUGCCGACACAUCAAUCUUUUUUCCAGGUUGACCUCGGAUCAGGUAGGGAUACCCGCUGUACUUAAGCAUAUCAAUAAGCCGGAGGA